This 391-nucleotide ribosomal RNA is filed under the name Salmonella enterica. RNAcentral's name for it is "partial 23S ribosomal RNA". It matches the Rfam family "Bacterial large subunit ribosomal RNA", at positions 711 to 1099 of the family's 2925-position model. RNAcentral also lists the same sequence under 3 other names. Lineage: Bacteria; Pseudomonadati; Pseudomonadota; Gammaproteobacteria; Enterobacterales; Enterobacteriaceae. The record is from RNAcentral.
AGACCCGAAACCCGGUGAUCUAGCCAUGGGCAGGUUGAAGGUUGGGUAACACUAACUGGAGGACCGAACCGACUAAUGUUGAAAAAUUAGCGGAUGACCUGUGGCUGGGGGUGAAAGGCCAAUCAAACCGGGAGAUAGCUGGUUCUCCCCGAAAGCUAUUUAGGUAGCGCCUCGUGAAUUCAUCUCCGGGGGUAGAGCACUGUUUCGGCUAGGGGGCCAUCCCGGCUUACCAACCCGAUGCAAACUGCGAAUACCGGAGAAUGUUAUCACGGGAGACACACGGCGGGUGCUAACGUCCGUCGUGAAGAGGGAAACAACCCAGACCGCCAGCUAAGGUCCCAAAGUCAUGGUUAAGUGGGAAACGAUGUGGGAAGGCCCAGACAGCCAGGAU